CUUAGCGGCGGACGGGUGAGUAACACGUGGGUAACCUGCCCUUGAGAGGGGGAUAACAGGUCGAAAGGCCUGCUAAUACCGCAUAACGCUAAGAUGCCGCAUGGCGUCUUAGCCAAAGGUUAAUUCCGCUCAAGGAUGGGCCCGCGGCCCAUUAGCUAGUUGGUGAGGUAAUGGCUCACCAAGGCGACGAUGGGUAGCCGGCCUGAGAGGGUGGUCGGCCACACUGGGACUGAGACACGGCCCAGACUCCUACGGGAGGCAGCAGUGGGGAAUAUUGCGCAAUGGGGGAAACCCUGACGCAGCGACGCCGCGUGAGCGAUGAAGGCCUUCGGGUUGUAAAGCUCUGUCUUCCCUGACGAUAAUGACGGUAAGGGAGGAGGAAGCCACGGCUAACUACGUGCCAGCAGCCGCGGUAAUACGUAGGUGGCAAGCGUUGUCCGGAAUUACUGGGCGUAAAGGGUGCGUAGGCGGCUCUUUAAGUGGGGUGUGAAAUCCCUGGGCUCAACCCAGGAACUGCACUCCAAACUGGAGAGCUAGAGUGCAGGAGAGGAAAGCGGAAUUCCCAGUGUAGCGGUGAAAUGCGUAG
Molecule: ribosomal RNA, 586 nt
Filed under: Thermobrachium sp.
Lineage: Bacteria; Bacillati; Bacillota; Clostridia; Eubacteriales; Clostridiaceae
Description: bacterial SSU rRNA
Rfam family: Bacterial small subunit ribosomal RNA
Source: RNAcentral